RNAcentral lists this ribosomal RNA (504 nucleotides) under uncultured bacterium. RNAcentral's name for it is "bacterial SSU rRNA". It matches the Rfam family "Bacterial small subunit ribosomal RNA", at positions 791 to 1300 of the family's 1533-position model. The record is from RNAcentral.
UAGUCCACGCCCUAAACGAUGAUAACUCGUUGUUGGCAAUACAUCGUCAGCGACUAAGCGAAAGCAUUAAGUUAUCCACCUGGGGAGUACGACCGCAAGGUUGAAACUCAAAGGAAUUGACGGGGGCCCGCACAAGCGGAGGAGCAUGUGGUUUAAUUCGAUGAUACGCGAGGAACCUUACCUGGGCUUGAAAGUUAGUGACCGCUCCUGAAAGGGAGCCUUCCGCAAGGACACGAAACUAGGUGCUGCAUGGCUGUCGUCAGCUCGUGCCGUGAGGUGUUGGGUUAAGUCCCGUAACGAGCGCAACCCCUAUCAUUAGUUGCCAUCAGGUUAAGCUGGGGACUCUAAUGAGACUGCCCGCGCAAGCGGUGAGGAAGGUGGGGACGACGUCAAGUCAUCACGGCCCUUACGUCCAGGGCUACACACGUGCUACAAUGGCAGAUACAGCAGGUUGCGACAUGGUAACAUGAAGCUAAUCCCAAAAGUCUGUCUCAGUUCGGAUUG